GGUGAGAUGGCCGAGCGGUCUAAGGCACCAGACUAAGGAGCUCAUUCUACCAAGUCUCUGACAUCUGGUCCUCACGGGCGUGGGUUCGAAUCCCACUCUCAUCA
Molecule: non-coding RNA, 104 nt
Organism: Pilatotrama ljubarskyi
Lineage: Eukaryota; Fungi; Basidiomycota; Agaricomycetes; Polyporales; Polyporaceae
Source: the annotation of a GenBank genome assembly